UGCGAUCUGGAGUCGCCGAUGAAGCAGC
This 28-nucleotide non-coding RNA is filed under the name Bombyx mori (domestic silkworm). The record is from RNAcentral. Lineage: Eukaryota; Metazoa; Arthropoda; Insecta; Lepidoptera; Bombycidae.